Molecule: ribosomal RNA, 451 nt
Filed under: uncultured bacterium
Lineage: Bacteria
Description: partial 16S ribosomal RNA
Rfam family: Bacterial small subunit ribosomal RNA
Source: RNAcentral
AACGAACGCUGGCGGCAGGCUUAACACAUGCAAGUCGAACGCCUGUAGCAAUACAGGAGUGGCGGACGGGUGAGUAACACGUGGGAACGUGCCCAAAGGUACGGAACAACUCCGGGAAACUGGAGCUAAUACCGUAUGUGCCCGAGAGGGGAAAGAUUUAUCGCCUUUGGAUCGGCCCGCGUCUGAUUAGCUAGUUGGUGGGGUAAUGGCCUACCAAGGCGACGAUCAGUAGCUGGUCUGAGAGGAUGGCCAGCCACACUGGGACUGAGACACGGCCCAGACUCCUACGGGAGGCAGCAGUGGGGAAUAUUGGACAAUGGGCGCAAGCCUGAUCCAGCCAUGCCGCGUGAGUGAUGAAGGCCUUAGGGUUGUAAAGCUCUUUCGCCAGGGACGAUAAUGACGGUACCUGGAUAAGAAGCCCCGGCUAACUUCGUGCCAGCAGCCGCAGUAA